GCGCCGCUAGCUCAGUUGGUUAGAGCAGCUGACUCUUAAUCAGCGGGUCCGGGGUUCGAGUCCCUGGCGGCGC
This 73-nucleotide transfer RNA is filed under the name Streptomyces lividans. It matches the Rfam family "tRNA". From Rfam's summary of the family: Transfer RNA (tRNA) molecules are approximately 80 nucleotides in length. Their secondary structure includes four short double-helical elements and three loops (D, anti-codon, and T loops). The record is from RNAcentral. Lineage: Bacteria; Bacillati; Actinomycetota; Actinomycetes; Kitasatosporales; Streptomycetaceae. RNAcentral also lists the same sequence under 3 other names.